This 697-nucleotide ribosomal RNA is filed under the name uncultured bacterium. RNAcentral describes it as "bacterial SSU rRNA". It matches the Rfam family "Bacterial small subunit ribosomal RNA", at positions 125 to 818 of the family's 1533-position model. The record is from RNAcentral.
CCUACCUUUAACUCUGGGAUAGCCCGAAGAAAUUCGGAUUAAUACCGGAUAAUAUCAAGAUAUGACAUCACAGCUUGAUUAAAGGCGCGAGUUGGUUAAAGAUGGGCAUGCGUCCCAUUAGUUAGUUGGGGAGGUAACGGCUCACCAAGGCGAUGAUGGGUAGGGGCUCUGAGAGGAUUACCCCCCACAUUGGUACUGAGACAGGGACCAAACUCCUACGGGAGGCAGCAGUGAGGAAUAUUGGGCAAUGGACGGAAGUCUGACCCAGCCAUGCCGCGUGCAGGAAGACGGCCUUAUGGGUUGUAAACUGCUUUUAUGUAGGGAAAAAGUUCAUAUUGCGAUAUGAUUUGAUGGUACUACAGGAAUAAGAAUCGGCUAACUCCGUGCCAGCAGCCGCGGUAAUACGGAGGAUUCGAGCGUUAUCCGGAUUUAUUGGGUUUAAAGGGUGCGCAGGCGGACUAUUAAGUCAGUGGUGAAAUUUUCCGGCUCAACCGGGACAGUGCCAUUGAUACUGAUAGACUAGAGUAUAAUUGACGUAUGUGGAAUGUACCAUGUAGCGGUGAAAUGCAUAAAGAUGCUACAGAACACCGAUAGCGAAGGCAGCAUACGAAGCUAUAACUGACGCUCAUGCACGAAAGCGUGGGGAUCAAACAGGAUUAAAUACCCUGGUAGUCCACGCUGGUAACGAUGAUUACUG